Long non-coding RNA from Alligator mississippiensis (American alligator), 7444 nucleotides. RefSeq lists it as uncharacterized. The transcript has 2 exons. The record is from RefSeq and is a predicted model, not a curated record. Lineage: Eukaryota; Metazoa; Chordata; Crocodylia; Alligatoridae.
GCAUCCAUUGUACUGAAUCGAAACCCUGGCUCUCAAGAGCUGCCCUAAUGACACAACAGGGGAUUGCUGCUUUUUUUUCCUUUGUGAAUUGUUGAUGCAAAAAUAACUUGCGGUGACCUCUGGCUUGCUGCGGAGCUUAAAGGGCACUGCAUCGCCGGCCGGCCCACAGCUUCCCUUCCAGCUCCUCCACAGCCUGGGGUCAGGGACCAGCACAAGGGGCAUCUCACCCGCGUGUGCCUCUGCAGAGCCUGACUGCCGCAUGCUGCUGGGUCUGCACCGACUUCAGGGGUGCCCUGCUAGCCCUCGGCCGGUGUCGCAGCCUAGAGGAGUCAUCCACGUGCCUCCAAGUGUGCGGUUGUUUUCUAGGUGCCGUGUCACCGAACGCCACCCCAAAGCAUCCGGUCGUGGCACUUCUGGACCUGAAUUUAAAAGUGAGAUUCUGCGACGAAUGUAAGAAGAGCUUGGUUGUAUGACUCCCAUUGGGUAGCACAACAAUAAAGUAGUCCAUUAAUAAUGCACACAGUAGCCAUUUAGAUAAAUAGUGGUAUAGUCACAGCAAUAAAUUCAGAAUGAAAUAAAAUCCUUAUUUUCAGGCAAUGGUGCAGUAAAAAUGUGUUGAAAGACGGUGAUUUACUGAUAUGCUACCUGCAAAAUGGCAGAGUGCUUAUUUAAUGGCUGGGAGACUGUCCCGGGUAACAGGAACACAAGGUAUGUAAAUUGGGGACAUUACCAUAGCCGAGUCAUCAAUACAUACAUUUCCCCCCCUGUAAUCUUGUUUUUCAAUUUUUAAACUAAAAUACUGGGUUGUUAGUCAAGCAAGAGAAACAGUGCAUUAAAUAUAACUAGAUCAGAAUUCCAAUCUCACUCGGCCCCACUUGCUGGAGGCACAACAUAAAGGUUAAUAACAGAUACAGGACCCAGCGCAUUUAACCACAGUACUGCUACACAUCACAAAGUGACAAUUAGAAACUCUGGCUGAAUACCAAUGGCCAGUGAUCAAACAGACUUCAGCAAAACCAGUAGGUUUCACAUUAUCUUUGUUCUUCAUUCAUCAUUUAUUUGACAGGGUACAAAGCUUAUAUUGAGCAUUAGGACUGCUGCUUCUGUUUUACCACACAAAUGAUCUACAAUAAGAGGUGGGGAGGUAGGGAGGGGGAGAAGGGCAUGUGCUUUAUUUCAAUGAGCUUAGUCAACAACUCGAAAUGUUUAUAAGGAACUUGUAUUACCAUGAUGUAUGAUUUUUUCAUUAUCAGUCCAAGUAAUCUAAUUGAACUCCAUCAGAUAAUUACCUUCUGUGAACAGCAUGACUGACUGUGCUCCAUGUUUGCCUUUUUUCUGCUAGCAGACAUCAAAAGCUGCUGGCCCUGUGGGCAACGAGCCAGCAGCGAGCUUGUCUGAUAUACUGUUCAAAUGCUGCACAGGACGGCAAGCAUGCCCCUGCUUCCAGCUCUGGGCUCUUCUCAACAGCGGCUCGGUCAUGGUUGUGUCCACAGCCACAUAGCCCCGCUCCAGCGGCCACAUGGAAAGUAAAACUGAACGCCAAACAAAUGUGGGAGAUGAGUUAAUUAACAAGUAAUAACUCCUUAAGUCUCGUUUUUGGCACUAUCUACUUCCAGAACAAAUGGAUGGGAAGCUACUAGGUCCUCCACAUGAAUUUCAGUAGGGUGACUACGAGGGGUUGUUGUUCUUAGUGGGGGUGUUACAGUGAUAUCAUAGCCGUGAUGGUCCAGGAAUUAUGCAAGAGGCAAGGAUUUUUUGGGGCGAUCUCUUUUAUUGGACAGACAGAGUAGUUAGGAUAGAGUUAGAUAAGCUUUCAAAUGCAGUAAUUCUGAUGUUUCCAACUAUCAGGGUGCAUCUACACGAGAUGCUUUAAGGUGCAUUAGCCUAAAUGUAAGGCGCAUUGCGGCUAAUCACGCCUAAAUUUGAUAUUAUGCAGGCAUCAAAUUUAGGUUCAAAUGCAGGUAUCAAAUUUAGGCUCAGAUAGUUAAAACGCAUUAACAAACAUAUAGAUGUGUUAAAGCACAUUAACGCUGUGCGUGUGGACUGACUCCGGAUUAACUUUAGUCCCAAGUCAGUCCACACACACAGCGUUAGUGCACUUUAACACCUGCAUGUGUAGAUGCGUGGCUAAACCACUUAAUGCACAUUAAGCUAAUGUGCAUUAAAUUUAGGUGCACUUAAAUGCACGUGUAGACACACCAUAGGUGUUGUUAAUGAUAGCUCAUUCUGUGAUACUUCUUUCCUUUGGCUGUCCAUGUAUGAUGCGCCAUCCUUGGCAGCCAGCAGCCUCACUGGCUUCCCUGGUUGCUGUGUCGGGCGGGAAAGGUUAACAAGUUAGCAGUUCACUGCCUGUCAAAGCUCCUCCAGUUGAAGGCCUGAAACUAGCAUCAUCGUUCUGUCUCCGACCUGUCAAACUAGAGUCACUUUGAUUUUGCAGGUGGAUUGAGCAUGUCAGCCAAUGUUAGUAUGUUAUCUGCAUGCCUCACGAGGGGAUCUGUCACGUUUAACACGAGAGGCAGAAGUCUCCCUUGCCAUGCAAAAGGUCUUCUCAGAGGGUUUUCCUCUGGUGGAAGGGCAGAAAGAACGUAUACGGGACUGAGGGGCAGAUGCAAUGCUUCCUACAGGAGAACAGCUUUGUGAGAAAGGCAUUGGGCUGAGGCUUGGAAGACUUGGACUCUGUAACCUGGAAAAAUCAGGGCUGAUUCUGGAGGUUGCAUGCACUCUCAAUGUCCAAUGCAGGCAGUGAGCACUGCAGAGACUCAGAAAGUCUGGCCCUUUCUCUUUCUCUCUCUGCCAUUUCCCUCGGUAUAAAGCGGGGAAAAAAACCUAUGCUUUGUCUCUUGGACAGUGCACUAGUAACUCAUCCCUAUUUAGGGCAGCGCUGAAGCACAUGCAUGAAGUAUAGCAGCAAGUGGAGUUUUGUCCUGAACUGGGGCCCAACUGAAUCUCUGCAGGGCAGAGAGCAUCUCAUCACGGGCCAGCACAACGGGGACAGGCGUUGGUUGCACUUCUAGCUACCGUAUAGUAGAAAACCCAGUGGUUAAAACUGACACCUCUCAUACUGGCUUUUUCCCUAUUUCAGUAUCAUUGACAAUCACUUAAUUCCUAUGACUUUUCUUAACUAGAUACUGAUUUUCCCCUCCAAAUAUAUGGAUAGUCUCAUGGUUAUAAAUCACACUAAUAUAUGAUAUAUGGGCCUAAUUCUGUUCCUACUGAAGUCAAUGGAAAUUUUUCCAUUGACGUCAAUGAGGAGGAUUGAUCUCUAUGCAUGUUCCAUUUGUUCCUGAGAUUUUAAGAAUUCAUUUCCUCCUUCCAUUGCCAAAGACAGAUAGCAGCAGUGGAGGUAGAGGAGUCAGCUAAUAACCACAUAUUAAUACAUGAAUCAUCAGCUGGGAAUCCAACUCAGGAAAAGACUGAGAGGAAAAUAACUGAACUUGAUAUUUGGGCUGUCUGAAAUAAAGGAUUUUACAAAUAAAGCACAGCGGAUAAUCUGUAACAAGAUAAUAAUUGCAAUGUAAAUUUUCACCCUAGCUUUGGGAUCACAUACAUCUUUUAAAGGCUGUUUAAACGUAUUACAGCGAUUAGGGCUCUACUGGAAAACCUUUUUUUGCUUUGCUGAACCAUGAGCAUAGAAACUCUGAGUUUACAUUUCUCACUUUUAAGUACACCUAAUUACUAUCCAAUAGGAUACUAAGUCAGUACCUUAAAGUGAAACGGCAGCAAUCACGGCUCGUCUUUAAAGAAGCUAGCAUAGAAAAAGAGCGACGUGUUUUUGUUCUGAAUUAAAGCUCAGUGAGAUGUGGAUGUUCAAGAACCCGACUCUUUCUUCUGCUUUAUUUCUUGCUUAUUCACUGCAUGCUUUGGUGUCAUCAGCACAGAACGCCUGUGGCCCAAAGGCACAACUGCGAUUGAAUACCGAGGCCCUGUUGUACACGGCAGGAUGUCUGAUGGGGAGGGUUUGUUUUACUCCAUUAUCCUGGGGAGACCCGCUGUUUCUCAGCCGUGGAGUUGGUGGAGCACUGCAAUUUAGUCAUCCUUGGGGUGUUGCCCACAGCCACUCUGCAAUGUCCACAGCGCUUUAACCUGCUCCAAACACUCAGAGAGGCCUGGAUUUGUGGUUCUUUUUCCAAAGAAGGCUGCAAGGGUGGUGGUUUUGGCAGACACCCUUACAGUGUUUGCAACUAUUUAGUUGGUCUAAUAAAAGAUAUCACACGUACCCAAAGAACCUUGUCUGUGUACUACCCUUGUGAGGGCACUCAAGUGAUUGUGCGUUGUCUUGAGGCUGUUGGACGCUAGCACCAAAGAAAGCCUCCAGGCUGAUGAAGAUGGGUGGCGUUCAUAAUUGCCUGCCCACGCAGAGGGACUGACUUGGCCCCGGAGGCUCCUUCCAAUUGAUGUUAACAGAUACUGAAGCACUAAACAACUGCCCCCAGAAAUAACUACAAAAACUGGCUUUCGGUGAAGGACGCAUAUUCAAGAUCUCAGAGCCCUCUUGGAAGGAAGCCACAGGACGACGGGCACAUUUGAGCCGUGUCCUGUACCCGACGGGCGUGGCUGGACUGUUUGCACGUGGCAGCCAGCUCAAGAGCUCUUUUGGGCCCUUGUUUCUACCUCUUAUUUGAGUGUUAGUGUAAAGGCUAGGGGUUAAAUCUCUUGUGAAGUGACAUAUUUUCUCAUAUAUCACAUACUUGCCACCCCUAAAAAGCCAGCUGCUGGAAAUGGGGGUGUGCAUUAUAAGUAAGGAAGUAUGGUAACAGCCGUUUCUGCUGCCUAAGCUUCUGCCAAGAUGCCUCUGAACCUCAGGGAGCAGAACAACGGGAUGGCUCGGCUGCCUCGCUGCUGCUCCUCAAUUAUUCACUACAAGAAAAGAUCUUUUUUUCCCUUGUUCCUGCCUUUCCAAAACAAGGUGCAUAUCUUAUUCCGGGGUGCGUCGUAUGUGAGAAAAUACGGUAAUUUUUUUUCACUGCAAACUUGUCAAAACUUUAUGAAAAACUGUUUACAAACAGUUUGAGAAGCAAAACUGUUGCAUUCUAUACAGUUCUAUACUUCGCUCCCUUCCUGCACCUUGUACGGGACCGAAUCUGGGAUUUUGGCCCUCUCAGCAGUACCAUGCGCCCAAGUUCUUCAGAAGAUAGGCAUUUGCUUUCUAUCCACUGACAUUUUGGAGGCAACAUCUCAUUAGCCUCAUUACGCUCUGUUUUCCUACUCUCACAUUAAGAAGCACUUGUGGAAUUAGUUACUAUUCACUGAGCCCAAGGAUGGUGGAAUUGGGCCUUUAAAUCUGAAAUGGAAGUCUUAUUUUUUAUUGUUGCACUUUAAUGUCAGAAACUGCCAUUUUUUAUUUAAUGAUACUUCCUGUACAGCACUUCUAAGAAAUUCUUCUAUGGAGGGUGCUAAAUAUAAAGAGUGUAUUGUAUACAACCUAUUACAUCUGGGAAAGUAAUGGGAAAGCAUGGGUAUGAUUUUGAAUUCAUUUGCAACUGAAAUUUCUGAGAGUGACUUGCUGUGAUGGCUCAGGUUGUAAGUACCCUUUGUGCUUAGAAAAAAAAAAAAAAAGGAAAGAAAGAGAAAGCAAAAGCAAUCACCUUUCAUUAUCCUGAAAUCUCUUUGUGUUUUACCCUAUGAUUUUGUUUUCACAAUGUGACAAAAAAGACUAAAGAAUAAUUUAGACAAAGGAAUGAUGUGUGUGUAUGUCACCAUGGAAACGAUCUGUGGGACAAGCUUGGAAAAUAAUUCUGUUAGCAGUGUGCACGCUCCGAAAAGCUACCAGACUCAUAAAAUGUAAGACCCAUCAGUUGUACCGAAACUUCAGUACCAUUUUGUGUAUAGUAACGAUGAGGUACAAUAGUCAGUUCUAGUCUAUGCGGUUCUGUAUAGGUUCUUACAAUGUCUUAAUACCUUCCAAUAGUGCAUUAAGUGACAUUACUUAAAUCAGUCGCAUGCUAUUUGUUCUCUACUCCUGUCCCCAGGGGGGCAGAAAUGUGUGCAGCAAAUUGCUUUGCUUAGGUAGGGUGCUUGGGUUAUUUUUGUUGCUUUUUGCUUUGGGCUUUAUUAGUAGACAUGUUACCAUGUAUUUGCAUUACAGAAGACAAGGUCAAAGAAAUGCAAUGCUGUGAGGUUUGUGAUGAUGCUUAGUUCCUGCCUAUGAUAAAUACUUUCCUCUCUUUUACAACUAGGCUAAUAAUGACUAAUUAAGAUAAUGCUUUAGUUAAGGCAUGUGCUGAGUGUUUUCUCACUUGGUUAAUUUGAAAUCAGUGAGAGAGGUCAUUCUUCCCCAAGUUCCUGAAGCUCGGGCGUUGGAAGCUCACAGUCAAACUGAAAGAUUUCCCAGCCUGUAGUAUAUGGAUUGGGCUGGGUUAAAGGUAAAGGGGCUCAUUCUUCUCCACCAUCUGGGGUAACUUCACUGAUUUUCUACCAGAUACCAUAUACCAACAGGCCCAGGGCGUGGCUGGGGGACAUGGUGUUCUGAAUCACAGGAGUCUAUUGGGAUGUUACAGCUGGCCUAAUUAGUUUGGGGCUUAAACCAGGAUUGAUGUACACUGCCCUAUCUUGCAGUUUAAGCCGAAGCUGGACCCUGAGAAUCAGCCCCCAAGAAUUUGUCCAAGGAGAGCUCAGAACCCAAUCCUGUUAACGGGCAGAAAAUUAUUGGGCUCGGACAAGCUCAACAAGGUACUUGUCCAGCCUCAUCUUGAACACCUCCAAGGAUGGUGACCAUUGACGACGCGUAGGGGGUGCACACAGGUGCACGUGCACCCCUGAAAGAAGCACUGCUGACACUGCUGGCAGCACCGGUGGGCAGUCACCGCUCACCACCACCCCUCGUCGCUGCUGGCGCCGGUGUCUGCAGGCAGUCACUGAUCACCGCUGGCUGCUGCUGACACUACUGGUUGCGUCUGCAGGUGGUCGCUGACCGCUGGUCAGUGCUCGCCACCUCCUCCGCCGCCGACACUGCUGCGGCUGCCUGCGGGAGCUCCCCACUCCCCACCACCAUGCCCUCACCGCUGCCGUCUGUAGGCGGUCAGCGUGCCCCUCAGCCUCCGGGGGCACGUGUCGCUCAUGAUGGUGACUGCACCACCUCUGCUGGGAGCGUACCAGGAAUGUGCCUGGAAAGGAAGGACAAGAAGUCUGAAGAAGCUGAACUUAAUCUAAAUCUUGCGUCAUGCAGCAUCCCAGAGCUAAACUGAGAUUUGUAGUGAAAAAUGAUAGACAGCUUUUUUUUUCCUGUACUUUUAACAUAGUGCAAGCCAAGAAUCAGAGAGAGAAAAGCAUGAUUGAAAUAUAGGGAAAGUAUCUCAGAUUUGGUUUCUAUUUCCCCCCCUCCUUUUUUUCCUUUCCAGGGAUAUUAGAUAAAGAGGGAAGAGAAAGGUUGCUGAUAAAUUUCAGCACAUGCAAAUCUGGAUAUAUUUUUCCCUCUUCAUACAAAAUAAAUAUAUAAGAUGCACAA